UUUGUUUAUUAUUGUAUUAAUUUGUGUGUUUUGUAUUUUUCAUAGUUGCAUUUAGUGUGCCAAAAAAUAUGAAAACUUGACGUUCGUGACGUCACAUACAAUGUGAAAACUCGACGUUCGUGACGUCACAUACCAAACAAUGACGUCAUUCAAAAAAUUUACCUAUUUUGAGGAAAAAUUUUCUUAAGCAAAAAAAAAAAACCAAAACUGACUGUUAUGUAAAAAAAAAGAAAAAAAAAAGUAGGGGUGUGAUAAAGGGUAUGCGAUAAAGGGUAGGGGUGUGAUAAAGGGUAUGCGAUAAAGGGUGCGCAUCAAAGUUGCGCGAUAUGGAUUAAACAGCAGGCUAUUUAUCACAUAUGCAAAACUACUGUAUUUACUACUAAACAUAUGAUAAAUAUGUAUUAUAAUAUAUAAAUGA
RNAcentral lists this long non-coding RNA (418 nucleotides) under Mytilus galloprovincialis (Mediterranean mussel). Lineage: Eukaryota; Metazoa; Mollusca; Bivalvia; Mytilida; Mytilidae. The record is from RNAcentral.